Molecule: ribosomal RNA, 578 nt
Filed under: Telmatobius sp. 8 PAS-2014
Lineage: Eukaryota; Metazoa; Chordata; Amphibia; Anura; Ceratophryidae
Description: partial 16S ribosomal RNA
Rfam family: Bacterial large subunit ribosomal RNA
Source: RNAcentral
CAUCGCCUCUUGACAAAAUAUAAGAGGUCCAGCCUGCCCAGUGACCAUGUUCAACGGCCGCGGUAUCCUAACCGUGCGAAGGUAGCGUAAUCACUUGUUCUUUAAAUGAGGACUAGUAUGAAUGGCACCACGAAGGUUAUACUGUCUCCUUUUUCUGAUCAGUGAAACUAAUCUCCCCGUGAAGAAGCUGGGAUUUUUAUAUAAGACGAGAAGACCCUAUGGAGCUUUAAACAGAAAAACAAUUGCUACCACAAUUAUUAAUUUCAGAAAACUAAACUUUAUCCUAGCAUUAUGAUUUUCAGUUUUAGGUUGGGGUGACCGCGGAGUAAAAUAUAACCUCCGCAUUGAARCGGAUUCUAUCCUAAGCAAAAAGCUACGACUUUAAGCAUCAACAAAUUGACACCAAUUGACCCAAUAUUUUGAUCAACGAACCAAGUUACCCUAGGGAUAACAGCGCAAUCCACUUCAAGAGCUCCUAUCGACAAGUGGGUUUACGACCUCGAUGUUGGAUCAGGGUAUCCCAGUGGUGCAGCCGCUACUAAAGGUUCGUUUGUUCAACGAUUAAAACCCUACGUGAU